CAGACCUGUGGCCUUGGAUAGGCUGUUGGAUCACAACCUCUGUUUUGGGCUCUUUUCAUAAGCUUUGUUCUGGGAACUGCAUACUCAAUCAAUAACAUAUCGUUGCUUGAUAGUUGAUCCUUCUGCUAUUGGCGGCACAGAACAACAUGCGCUGAAGCCAGCAGAGCUAAGGAAAUAAAGGACGUGACAGACCCAAAUCCAAGAAUUACAAGACUUGCAACUUUUCCUCGUCAUUUACAAUUGUCAACUUUUUGACCAGAACUGAAAACUUCUUUACUCAGUCUGGAAAAAAAUGUUAACAUUUUGAUAACAUGGGGCUCCUAGAGAACCUACUGAGAGGCAUCUAUGCCUGU
Long non-coding RNA from Panicum virgatum (switchgrass), 353 nucleotides. RefSeq lists it as uncharacterized. The record is from RefSeq and is a predicted model, not a curated record. Lineage: Eukaryota; Viridiplantae; Streptophyta; Magnoliopsida; Poales; Poaceae. The transcript is spliced from 4 exons.